RNAcentral lists this small RNA (159 nucleotides) under Chelonoidis abingdonii (Abingdon island giant tortoise). RNAcentral's name for it is "TUC338 (ENSCABG00000012556.1)". The record is from RNAcentral. Lineage: Eukaryota; Metazoa; Chordata; Testudines; Testudinidae.
CUGAUGGCCCUGAAGAUUGAAAUUCUCAGUUUAUCUACAGAACAAUUACAGUACAGCACAGGCAAUAAUCAUUCAAUAUACCCCAUCCCUGACCAGGAACAACCACUUCUAAGACAUGAAGAAGGCAAAAGUUUCAUUUCCAUUCAGUCCUUGCCCUAU